RNAcentral lists this ribosomal RNA (450 nucleotides) under uncultured bacterium. RNAcentral describes it as "partial 16S ribosomal RNA". It matches the Rfam family "Bacterial small subunit ribosomal RNA", at positions 354 to 796 of the family's 1533-position model. The record is from RNAcentral.
GUGGGGAAUCUUCCGCAAUGGACGAAAGUCUGACGGAGCAACGCCGCGUGAGUGAAGAAGGUCUUCGGAUCGUAAAGCUCUGUUGUACGGGACGAAUGUUGAAGGCGUGAAUAAUGCCAUCAAAUGACGGUACUGUACGAGGAAGCCACGGCUAACUACGUGCCAGCAGCCGCGGUAAUACGUAGGUGGCGAGCGUUGUCCGGAAUUAUUGGGCGUAAAGGGAGCGCAGGUGGGAAGGUAAGUCUGUUUUAAAAGCGUCGGGCUAAACCCGAUGAGGGAACAGAAACUAUUUUUCUUGAGUGCAGGAGAGGAAAGCGGAAUUCCUAGUGUAGCGGUGAAAUGCGUAGAUAUUAGGAGGAACACCAGUGGCGAAGGCGGCUUUCUGGACGGUGUCUGACACUGAGGCGCGAAAGCCAGGGGAGCGAACGGGAUUAGAUACCCGAGUAGUCC